RNAcentral lists this long non-coding RNA (285 nucleotides) under Phoenix dactylifera (date palm). RNAcentral describes it as "long non-coding RNA (PDAC_LNC006939)". The record is from RNAcentral. Lineage: Eukaryota; Viridiplantae; Streptophyta; Magnoliopsida; Arecales; Arecaceae.
GUCCGGGACUCUUUACUGGGGUUAACCUAGGCCACAGAAAACAUCUGGGACCCCCUUUUAGGUCCAUUAAACCAUGCAAAGAGAGAAAAAAAGAAGAAAAAAAUAAAGAGAGAGAUAAAAGAGAAAAAGAGAGAGGAGAGAGAGAGAGAGAGAAAGAAAAGAGGGUUCUCUUCUUCUUUCCCAAAAUAGGAGAGAGCCUGUCUCUCCCUUUCCUCUUCGGAUCAGAGGGGUGGCAACCCAAGGUGGACGGCUCCAGUGGCGAUGACCCAGUGCAAUCCCUCCACC